This 392-nucleotide ribosomal RNA is filed under the name uncultured bacterium. RNAcentral's name for it is "bacterial SSU rRNA". It matches the Rfam family "Bacterial small subunit ribosomal RNA", at positions 26 to 417 of the family's 1533-position model. The record is from RNAcentral.
AGGACGAACGCUGGCGGCGUGCUUAACACAUGCAAGUCGAGCGGUAAGGCCCUUUCGGGGGUACGACGAGCGGCGAACGGGUGAGUAACACGUGGGUGACCUGCCCUCAGCUCUGGGAUAAGCCUGGGAAACCGGGUCUAAUACUGGAUAUGACCCCAUGACGCAUGUUGUGGGGUGGAAAGCCUUGUGCGGCUGAGGAUGGGCCCGCGGCCUAUCAGCUUGUUGGUGGGGUGANGGCCUACCAGGGCGACGACGGGUAGCCGGCCUGAGAGGGCGACCGGCCACACUGGGACUGAGACACGGCCCAGACUCCUACGGGGAGGCAGCAGUGGGGAAUCUUGCGCAAUGGGCGAAAGCCUGACGCAGCGACGCCGCGUGAGGGAUGACGGCCU